This 508-nucleotide ribosomal RNA is filed under the name uncultured bacterium. Its description in RNAcentral is "partial 16S ribosomal RNA". It matches the Rfam family "Bacterial small subunit ribosomal RNA", at positions 30 to 523 of the family's 1533-position model. The record is from RNAcentral.
AUUGAACGCUGGCGGCAUGCCUUGCACAUGCAAGUCGAACGGCAGCGGGGGAGAAGCUUGCUUUUCCUGCCGGCGAGUGGCGAACGGGUGAGUAAUACAUCGGAACGUGCCCUGUAGUGGGGGAUAACUAGUCGAAAGAUUAGCUAAUACCGCAUACGACCUGAGGGUGAAAGUGGGGGACCGCAAGGCCUCAUGCUAUAGGAGCGGCCGAUGUCUGAUUAGCUAGUUGGUGGGGUAAAGGCCUACCAAGGCGACGAUCAGUAGCUGGUCUGAGAGGACGAUCAGCCACACUGGGACUGAGACACGGCCCAGACUCCUACGGGAGGCAGCAGUGGGGAAUUUUGGACAAUGGGCGAAAGCCUGAUCCAGCAAUGCCGCGUGUGUAAAGAAGGCCUUCGGGUUGUAAAGCACUUUUGUCCGGAAAGAAAUGGCUCUGGUUAAUACCUGGGGUCGAUGACGGUACCGGAAGAAUAAGGACCGGCUAACUACGUACCAGCCGCCGCGGUAA